RNAcentral lists this transfer RNA (72 nucleotides) under Angiostrongylus costaricensis. It matches the Rfam family "tRNA". From Rfam's summary of the family: Transfer RNA (tRNA) molecules are approximately 80 nucleotides in length. Their secondary structure includes four short double-helical elements and three loops (D, anti-codon, and T loops). Further hydrogen bonds mediate the characteristic L-shaped molecular structure. tRNAs have two regions of fundamental functional importance: the anti-codon, which is responsible for specific mRNA codon recognition, and the 3' end, to which the tRNAs corresponding amino acid is attached (by aminoacyl-tRNA synthetases). tRNAs cope with the degeneracy of the genetic code in two manners: having more than one tRNA (with a specific anti-codon) for a particular amino acid; and 'wobble' base-pairing, i.e. permitting non-standard base-pairing at the 3rd anti-codon position. Lineage: Eukaryota; Metazoa; Nematoda; Chromadorea; Rhabditida; Metastrongylidae. The record is from Rfam by way of RNAcentral.
GACUUCUUUGGGCAAUGGUGGCGCAUUCGACUACAGAUCGUAAGGUUGGGCGUUCGAUCCGCUCAGUCGUCA